UUCAGCCAGCAUGGGACUGGUGAGGAAAAGGCUGUGCUGGACUCCUCACCGGCCGGCUACCUGACCUUGGUGUUGAGCUUCAGGUCCACGUUGGUGCUGAUGUAGAGAUAGCAGCCAGAGGUCUCUGUGGAUCAAAGCUGCAGUUGGACCUUGGGCCUGUAGCUGGAGGGGGAUGUGGCAGAGUACAGCAGUCUGCUGCCCUCAGUAGCCAGGGAGACCUUGUCAGGGCAUCCACUGGCCAAGUCAAAAGGACAGAAAGGUUCAUCUCCCUCAUCCUCGACAGACAUAAACUUCAGCAAGGUGAACAGCCACCCAGGACACCAGCCCACACACAUGGAAGGACCGUCAUGGACCACAGGGCAUCCUCUCCCAGCACCACCUAGUGAGAGAGGCAGGAAGAAGGGAGCCUCCAGGGAAGACUGAACACCUCUCCCUAAAUAAUAGACUGAGCGUACAUUUCCUAAAUGGCCAGUUGAGAUGACUAGAUCAAACUCAGUUUAGACUCAUUGGACAUUCGAUGAAUUUUCCUGCAGCAAGUAGUGAUCUGGAAAAAGACCAGAUCAGCAACAGAAAAAAUAAAGACCUUAUAUCCUCUCUGCAUGUCUGCUUUGUAGUGUGAGUUACAUUGGUGAUUCUGCACAUUGUUGAGGUUCUACAUAAAAAUAGCAAGUAAUUGAGAAAGUUCAAUAUCUCUUGCCAGAGUCUUCUUUAAGUCCCAGCAGAUAAAGGAAUGCUUUGGGAGACUUUAGCGCGUGGAGCCAUGAAUCCUUCUAGCAUCCAUGAAAGACAGAGAGA
This is a long non-coding RNA of Nomascus leucogenys (northern white-cheeked gibbon), 795 nucleotides long. RefSeq lists it as uncharacterized. The transcript has 2 exons. NCBI's taxonomy places the organism in Eukaryota, Metazoa, Chordata, Mammalia, Primates, Hylobatidae. The record is from RefSeq and is a predicted model, not a curated record.